This 479-nucleotide ribosomal RNA is filed under the name Streptococcus mitis. RNAcentral's name for it is "bacterial SSU rRNA". It matches the Rfam family "Bacterial small subunit ribosomal RNA", at positions 28 to 491 of the family's 1533-position model. Lineage: Bacteria; Bacillati; Bacillota; Bacilli; Lactobacillales; Streptococcaceae. The record is from RNAcentral.
GACGAACGCUGGCGGCGUGCCUAAUACAUGCAAGUAGAACGCUGAAGGAGGAGCUUGCUCUUCUGGAUGAGUUGCGAACGGGUGAGUAACGCGUAGGUAACCUACCUGGUAGCGGGGGAUAACUAUUGGAAACGAUAGCUAAUACCGCAUAAGAGUAGAUGUCGCAUGACAUUUGCUUAAAAGGUGCAAUUGCAUCACUACAAGAUGGACCUGUGUUGUAUUAGCUAGUUGGUGAGGUAACGGCUCACCAAGGCAACGAUACAUAGCCGACCUGAGAGGGUGAUCGGCCACACUGGGACUGAGACACGGCCCAGACUCCUACGGGAGGCAGCAGUAGGGAAUCUUCGGCAAUGGACGGAAGUCUGACCGAGCAACGCCGCGUGAGUGAAGAAGGUUUUCGGAUCGUAAAGCUCUGUUGUAAGAGAAGAACGAGUGUGAGAGUGGAAAGUUCACACUGUGACGGUAUCUUACCAGAAAGG